AUGAUAAAAAAGUUAUGCCUUUUUUUUUGUUUGAAUGAUGAUGAAUACGUAGAUAUCUGUAUUAUGAGUUUUGUAAAUGAUAUUAAUGCUGUUAGUGAUGACGGUAUGACUUAUUUUGAUGCACACAAUAGUAAUAUAAUAAAGGAUGAUACUAAAGGGAGCAAUUGUAGCAAUCGUGGAAAUUAUAGCAAUAAUAACGACAAUAACGACAGUAACAACAACAACAAUAACGACAAUAACGACAGUAAUAACAGUAAUAACAACAAUAACGACAAUAACGACAAUAACGACAAUAACGACAAUAACGACAAUAACGACAAUAAUAACAGUAAUAACAGUAACGACAGUAACGACAGUAACGACAGUAACGACAGUAACGACAGUAACAACCGUAACAACCGUAACAACCGUAACAACCGUAACAACCGUAAUGAUGUAUGUGCUUUUUCAAAUGGAUUAACGAAACAAGAAGAAACAAUCUGUUUAUGUAAUAAAAAGGGAAAAAAAUUAGUUGAUUAUAAGAAAGGAAACAAUAAAUUUUGUUUUUUUAUAAAAUAUAUUUAUAAAAAAUUAUUAAUAAAUAAAAUAAUAGAACAAAAUGAUGUAAUAAAAUUUAAAAUAUUUGAGUAUAUACCCAUUAAUGAUAUUCGUAAAAGUGUAAUAAGAAUUGAAGAUGAGUUUUUAAAUUUAAAAAGUGAAUUUUUACAAAGUAUUUAUGCAAUAUCCUCUAUAAAUAAACAAUUAAUAAGUUACGUAGUUGACUCAAAUUAUGAUAUAAUUACUAAUGCUAUGUUAAGUUUUUUAAUAGAAUAUUUGAACAAUAUUAAUUUGAAAAAUAUAGCCAUACAUAUAUCAUAUUUUUUACAUAUGGUUUGUAAAAAAAUUAUAAAUACAUAUGUUAUGCAAGGCAAACUAUGUAUUAAAUUUUUGUCAACGUUGAAAAGUGCAUGUGUUAAAUAUUUUCAUGAGUACAAAUUAGUACAUACAAUGGUGGGAAACAAAAAUGUAGUUCCUAUGAAUGAAUAUGCAUAUGUUCAUAGUGAUAAAUAUUUAGUAACCAAAGUUGAUGAUGUUUUAAAUGAGAAAAGUGUAAAAGAAAAAAAAUUUGUAUAUAGUAAGUCAAAUGAAAAAAAUAGUUGUAUGACUGAUAUAAAAGAGAAGAAUAAAAAGAAAGGAGAUAGGUGCAUAUUUUAUUUAUUACAUUUUUUAUAA
Molecule: long non-coding RNA, 1212 nt
Filed under: Piliocolobus tephrosceles (Ugandan red Colobus)
Lineage: Eukaryota; Metazoa; Chordata; Mammalia; Primates; Cercopithecidae
Description: lncRNA (ENSPTEG00000002040.1)
Source: RNAcentral